CCUACGGGGUGCAGCAGUGGGGAAUAUUGGGCAAUGGGCGCAAGCCUGACCCAGCAACGCCGCGUGAAGGAAGAAGGCUUUCGGGUUGUAAACUUCUUUUAAGGGGGAAGAGCAGAAGACGGUACCCCUUGAAUAAGCCACGGCUAACUACGUGCCAGCAGCCGCGGUAAUAUGUAGGUGGCAAGCGUUGUCCGGAUUUACUGGGUGUAAAGGGCGUGCAGCCGGAGAGACAAGUCAGAUGUGAAAUCCACGGGCUCAACCCGUGAACUGCAUUUGAAACUGUUUCCCUUGAGUGUCGGAGAGGUAAUCGGAAUUCCUUGUGUAGCGGUGAAAUGCGUAGAUAUAAGGAAGAACACCAGUGGCGAAGGCGGAUUACUGGACGAUAACUGACGGUGAGGCGCGAAAGCGUGGGGAGCAAACGGGAUUAGAUACCCCUGUAGUC
This 442-nucleotide ribosomal RNA is filed under the name uncultured bacterium. Its description in RNAcentral is "partial 16S ribosomal RNA". It matches the Rfam family "Bacterial small subunit ribosomal RNA", at positions 338 to 795 of the family's 1533-position model. The record is from RNAcentral.